CGAGCGUACGUGGAAAAAACUUUUAAGCGGGACGAAACCAAGAAUAUCACCUUGCUUUAAUAGUAGGUAUAGAUGCAGAAGCUUAAGGUCAUCUUACAGAGAUCAGCGGUGAAAGAAAGAUGCUCACCAGAUUGUCCAUGUGAGUCCUCGGGCUGGAGAGUCCAAACUAUCUCCUUGACUGCUCUCGAAGAAGUGGAGAUCAACGGCUUUGAAGGAGACAAUCAUGAGCUUGAUUUCUUGAAACUGGUACUCAGAUGUGCGCCAAUGCUUAAAAGAAUGAUUGUGAAGCUGUCAGAUAAGGCCUCAGCAAGUAGCUAUAGACGCACAAAACUAUACAACAUCUUCAGGGCCAAUUAACCUGUGGAAUUCUAUGUCUAUCUUAGCUCCGGGUUAAUGCAUGGUAGCCAAAAUCGCCUGUCUACAUGAUUCUCACCCAUACAUCUGUGGACAUGUGUUGUGCAUCAACAAAACCGUUCUUUCCUGCAAUGGCCAACUCUGUUACCUGUGUUAGGAUUUUGCUUUGUUGCUUCAACCGAUUAUCUUAGGUGUUGUUUUGCCAGUGUACUGAAGCUUUAUAUGUGUCUAUAAGUGGUACACUCUUAGUUAAUUUCUGAAUGGCUCCUAUGCCAUUCAGUAAUCAAAGUUAAUGCACUCAACCUGUGUCAGUUAUGUUCUGCAAGCUAGUAACCAGUUAAGCUUAUGGUUUCAA
This is a long non-coding RNA of Triticum aestivum (bread wheat), 709 nucleotides long. RefSeq lists it as uncharacterized. NCBI's taxonomy places the organism in Eukaryota, Viridiplantae, Streptophyta, Magnoliopsida, Poales, Poaceae. The transcript is spliced from 3 exons. The record is from RefSeq and is a predicted model, not a curated record.